This 669-nucleotide ribosomal RNA is filed under the name uncultured Carnobacteriaceae bacterium. RNAcentral's name for it is "bacterial SSU rRNA". It matches the Rfam family "Bacterial small subunit ribosomal RNA", at positions 57 to 699 of the family's 1533-position model. Lineage: Bacteria; Bacillati; Bacillota; Bacilli; Lactobacillales; Carnobacteriaceae. The record is from RNAcentral.
GCAAGUCGAACGGUCUUUUCUAUGGAAGCUUGCUUCCACUGAGAAGAUAGUGGCGGACGGGUGAGUAACACGUGGGUAACCUGCCCAUAAGAGGGGGAUAACAUCCGGAAACGGGUGCUAAUACCGCAUAGUUUUCUUGAUCGCAUGAUUGAGAAAGGAAAGACGGCCUUUGUGCUGUCGCUUAUGGAUGGACCCGCGGCGUAUUAGUUAGUUGGUGAGGUAACGGCUCACCAAGACGAUGAUACGUAGCCGACCUGAGAGGGUGAUCGGCCACAUUGGGACUGAGACACGGCCCAAACUCCUACGGGAGGCAGCAGUAGGGAAUCUUCCGCAAUGGACGAAAGUCUGACGGAGCAACGCCGCGUGAGUGAAGAAGGUUUUCGGAUCGUAAAACUCUGUUGUCAGAGAAGAACAAGUCGGAGAGUAACUGCUCCGGCCUUGACGGUAUCUGACCAGAAAGCCACGGCUAACUACGUGCCAGCAGCCGCGGUAAUACGUAGGUGGCAAGCGUUGUCCGGAUUUAUUGGGCGUAAAGCGAGCGCAGGCGGUUCCUUAAGUCUGAUGUGAAAGCCCACGGCUCAACCGUGGAAGGUCAUUGGAAACUGGGGAACUUGAGUACAGAAGAGGAGAGUGGAAUUCCAUGUGUAGCGGUGAAAUGCGUAGAUAUAU